CCUACGGGAGGCUGCAGUGGGGGAUAUUGCACAAUGGGGGAAACCCUGAUGCAGCGACGCCGCGUGAAGGAAGAAGUACUUCGGUAUGUAAACUUCUAUCAGCAGGGAAGAAAAUGACGGUACCUGACUAAGAAGCCCCGGCUAACUACGUGCCAGCAGCCGCGGUAAUACGUAGGGGGCAAGCGUUAUCCGGAUUUACUGGGUGUAAAGGGAGCGUAGGCGGUUGAGCAAGUCAGAAGUGAAAGCCCGGGGCUCAACCCCGGGACUGCUUUUGAAACUGUCGCACUGGAUUGCAGGAGAGGUAGGUGGAAUCCUUGGUGUAGCGGUGAAAUGCGUAGAUAUAAGGAGGAACAC
This 354-nucleotide ribosomal RNA is filed under the name uncultured bacterium. Its description in RNAcentral is "partial 16S ribosomal RNA". It matches the Rfam family "Bacterial small subunit ribosomal RNA", at positions 338 to 709 of the family's 1533-position model. The record is from RNAcentral.